Molecule: ribosomal RNA, 253 nt
Filed under: uncultured bacterium
Lineage: Bacteria
Description: partial 16S ribosomal RNA
Rfam family: Bacterial small subunit ribosomal RNA
Source: RNAcentral
UACGUAGGGACCGAGCGUUGUCCGGAAUCAUUGGGCGUAAAGAGCGUGUAGGCGGCUUGUUAAGUCUUGCGUGAAAUCUCGGGGCUCAACCCCGAGCGGUCGUGAGAAACUGGCAGGCUAGAGUGCGGGAGAGGAGAGUGGAAUUCCUGGUGUAGCGGUGAAAUGCGCAGAUAUCAGGAAGAACACCCGUGGCGAAGGCGGCUCUCUGGGCCACUACUGACGCUGAGAAGCGAAAGCAUGGGGAGCGAACAGG